GAUGAGCGCUAGCGGCAGGCCUAAUACAUGCAAGCCGAACGGCAAGUUUGAUAGCAAUAUUGGACCUAGAGUGGCGCAAGGGUGCGUAACACGUAUGCAACCUGCCCGCGACAGGAGGAUAGCUCCCCGAAAGGGGAAUUAACCCUCCAUAACACCAUGAGAAGGCAUCUGUUUAUGGUUAAACCGCAAGGGGUCGCGGAUGGGCAUGCGGUUGAUUAGCUAGUUGGCGGGGUAAAGGCCCACCAAGGCGGUGAUCAAUAGGGGUUCUGAGAGGACGGUCCCCCACACGAGACCUGAGAUACGGGCCAGACUCCGACGGGAGGCAGCAGUAGGGAACAUUGGGCGAUGGUUGGAAGACUGAUCCAGCCAUGCCGCGUGCAGGAAGAAGGCCUGCUGGGUCGUAAUCUGCUUGUACCUGUGGAUAAAAUACCCGUGCGCGGGGAAUGGAGGGUAACAGGGGAAAUAGCCACGGCUAACUACGG
This 482-nucleotide ribosomal RNA is filed under the name uncultured bacterium. Its description in RNAcentral is "partial 16S ribosomal RNA". It matches the Rfam family "Bacterial small subunit ribosomal RNA", at positions 28 to 506 of the family's 1533-position model. The record is from RNAcentral.